AUGUUAGCGGCGGACGGGUGAGUAACACGUGGGUAACCUGCCUGUAAGACUGGGAUAACUCCGGGAAACCGGGGCUAAUACCGGAUGCUUGUUUGAACCGCAUGGUUCAAACAUAAAAGGUGGCUUCGGCUACCACUUACAGAUGGACCCGCGGCGCAUUAGCUAGUUGGUGAGGUAACGGCUCACCAAGGCAACGAUGCGUAGCCGACCUGAGAGGGUGAUCGGCCACACUGGGACUGAGACACGGCCCAGACUCCUACGGGAGGCAGCAGUAGGGAAUCUUCCGCAAUGGACGAAAGUCUGACGGAGCAACGCCGCGUGAGUGAUGAAGGUUUUCGGAUCGUAAAGCUCUGUUGUUAGGGAAGAACAAGUACCGUUCGAAUAGGGGCGGUACCUUGACGGUACCUAACCAGAAAGCCACGGAUAACUACAUGCCAUCACCCGCGGUAAUACGUGUGUGCCAAGCUUUUUACGAAAUAAUGGGGGGGUAACGGGUUGGGGGGGGGCCCCCUUAAAUUUGAUUUAGAAAUUCCCCCCGGGCACCCGGGCACCGCUCGAGU
This 560-nucleotide ribosomal RNA is filed under the name Bacillus subtilis. Its description in RNAcentral is "partial 16S ribosomal RNA". It matches the Rfam family "Bacterial small subunit ribosomal RNA", at positions 89 to 630 of the family's 1533-position model. The record is from RNAcentral. Lineage: Bacteria; Bacillati; Bacillota; Bacilli; Caryophanales; Bacillaceae.